AGUGAACGCUGGCGGUAGGCCUAUCACAUGCAAGUCGAACGGCAGCACAGUAAGAGCUUGCUCUUACGGGUGGCGAGUGGCGGACGGGUGAGGAAUACAUCGGAAUCUACUUUUUCGUGGGGGAUAACGUAGGGAAACUUACGCUAAUACCGCAUACGACCUACGGGUGAAAGCAGGGGAUCUUCGGACCUUGCGCGAUUGAAUGAGCCGAUGUCGGAUUAGCUAGUUGGCGGGGUAAAGGCCCACCAAGGCGACGAUCCGUAGCUGGUCUGAGAGGAUGAUCAGCCACACUGGAACUGACACGGUCCAGACUCCUACGGGAGGCAGCAGUGGGGAAUAUUGGACAAUGGGCGCAAGCCUGAUCCAGCCAUACCGCGUGGGUGAAGAAGGCCUUCGGGUUGUAAAGCCCUUUUGUUGGGAAAGAAAAGCAGCAGGUUAAUACCCCGCUGUUCUGACGGUACCCAAAGAAUAAGCACCGGCUAACUUCGUG
Molecule: ribosomal RNA, 490 nt
Filed under: uncultured bacterium
Lineage: Bacteria
Description: partial 16S ribosomal RNA
Rfam family: Bacterial small subunit ribosomal RNA
Source: RNAcentral